GUCUCUCCCCUUUUUUUUUCUUUUUUUUGGCAGCACAGUAAAUAGUCUGUAGAAAAAAUAAUAAUAGAGACAGAGUUUAUUCUUCUUCUUCAAGCUCAGCCACAUGAAGAAUGUAAUUCCAAAAGUAAACUCACAAAAAAACAAUACAUUGUAUUCUAAUUUGAAGCAAUAGGUAGUAGUAGAUUAGACUGUUUUAAUGUAUAUAAGAUUUAUACAAAUAUUUGAUCCCUAAAUGUCAAACUUUUUCUUUGCUACAGAGUUUAAUUUGUAAAAAAAAAAUUUAAAUGUAUAUGCAUUUUUAUCUGCUAUAGGAUCUAUAUGAAAGGCCAAGGGUAUAUAUACAUUUAAAGUCGAUAUGAUUUGUAAAUUGUGUCAUCAUAUUAAUCAUCACUAAAUACAGCCAUUGUCAUAUUUUGCUCAAGGUUUGCAAAUUUCUUUUAUCUGAUCCUAUACAUUGUUUGAAAUAAAUUUAAACCGUUUUAUGAAGAAUUAGCCUCACUUCCAUAUCCACUUCCAUGGGUCACCUCCCUGUAUCUACUUAAUUAGGCAAGUAGAAGCUUUCCCUGCAAAUCGUUGAAUUAACAUGUCUCGGGGAUGUGAGAUUUUUGGCCUUAGCUCAUCUAUGACAUCCAGUCUCACACGUUCAUCUGAAUUUAGCACCUUUAAUACAAUUGGAACAUGUUUCUUCAUUUGCAUAUACCUUUUACAGAUCCAACGGAAUGGCACAGCAAGAGUCAUACUGUGAAAUAAAAUGUGCUUUUGACAAGAUUUGACAUGCAAUCCAUAAUUAAUAGAAGUUUAAUACUGCUGCAGUUUCUUACUAUGCUAUUGCUCUUUAGCAAUCCGGUUAUGGGAUUCAAAUACUCUAUUUAAACUGCAUGCAAAAUGCUAAAGUUCUGAGUCUUUAUUGGCAGAAAAAAAGCACAAUUUGAACAUUAUUUACCAUGUUUAAUGGCACUCACCGUUUAUAACUUACAAGCCAAAGUCAUAAUAAAAUCAAUGAAGACUUGCAAGUAAAAUGCUAAAUAUUAAGAAAUUCGAAAUGCAAAACUCCGAAAUAUUAAUGAUAUCCCUGAUUUGCCCAUUUGAACAAAUGUAAAUCCUUAUAACGUACUUGGUUAUACAUAUUUUGUUGGUUUUGUUUAAUUCAGACAGAUAAAUAAAGUUGGCAGCUUAUUUCUAAAAAAAAAAAAAAAAAAAAGUCUUAACAUAUCAUUAAUGAAUGCUUGCAAAGUGUGUUUUACAGGAACGUUUUUGUACUUUUAUUCAGAGCAUUAAACAAUAGACAUGGGCAAAUGCUUGCAAAAAAUUAAAAUUGUAAAAAUAAACCGUUUGCCUCCUAUAGGAACUUAUAGCAAUAAUACCUAAAAUCCACCUUCCGGCAGAUUUUUCACAUACACAUGCACACAGAAAAAUCU
Non-coding RNA from Pelobates cultripes (western spadefoot toad), 1418 nucleotides. NCBI's taxonomy places the organism in Eukaryota, Metazoa, Chordata, Amphibia, Anura, Pelobatidae. The record is from the annotation of a GenBank genome assembly.